AACGAACGCUGGCGGCAUGCCUAACACAUGCAAGUCGAACGAGACCUUCGGGUCUAGUGGCGCACGGGUGCGUAACGCGUGGGAACCUGCCCUUAGGUUCGGAAUAACUCCCCGAAAGGGGUGCUAAUACCGGAUAAUGUCUUCGGACCAAAGAUUUAUCGCCUUUGGAUGGGCCCGCGUUGGGUUAGCUAGUUGGUAGGGUAAAAGCCUACCAAGGCGACGAGCCAUAGCUGGUCUGAGAGGAUGAUCAGCCACACUGGGACUGAGACACGGCCCAGACGCCGAGGGGAGGCAGCAGUGGGGAAUAUUGGAGAAUGGGCGAAAGCCUGAUCCAGCAAGGCCGCGUGAGUGAUGAAGGCCUUAGGGUUGUAAAGCUCUUUUGCCGGGGAUGAUAAUGACAGUACCGGGAGAAUAAGCUCCGGCUAACUCCGUG
This 433-nucleotide ribosomal RNA is filed under the name uncultured bacterium. RNAcentral describes it as "partial 16S ribosomal RNA". It matches the Rfam family "Bacterial small subunit ribosomal RNA", at positions 29 to 507 of the family's 1533-position model. The record is from RNAcentral.